This 1135-nucleotide long non-coding RNA is filed under the name Homo sapiens (human). Its description in RNAcentral is "HSALNT0080576". The record is from RNAcentral. Lineage: Eukaryota; Metazoa; Chordata; Mammalia; Primates; Hominidae.
UCGAGACCAUCGUGGCCAACAUGGUGAAACCCCGUCUCUACUAAAAAUACAAAAAUUAGCCAGGUGUGGUGACGCACACCUGUAGUCCCAGCUACUCGGGAAGCUGAGGCAGGAGAAUUGCUUGAACCCGGGAGGUGGAGGUUGCAGUGAGCUGAGGUUUGUGUAGUAGUGGAAGAUUUUAGGUAUGUAGAGCAAGUUGAAAAUGGAUUGAGACUGCAUGGUGGCAUAAAUGAGAAAUUGCCUGUAGCAUCUAGUCUACUUGAAGGAAGUGGAGACAUAAGGAGAGACAAAAACAGGUUUGUGCCAUAAAGUAUUUUUUCAAAGACACCAAGAUGUGGUAAAUGAAAAUUAUUAGUUCACUUCCCUGCUGCCAUGAAACUUUGCCUUAAGAAGGUGCUGGAUUCCAAGGUUUGUAAAGGCAUCUCGGUAAAGACUGCUUUUUGAAUGCAUAUGAUUUUGCAUCAGCUAGACUGAGUUGAUUCUGACCAGACUUGAUGGUUUUAAGUCGGAACCGAUAAAUUUUAAAAAGGAGAAAAAAUAAUUUGACCUAGUAGUAUAAAACAUGAGGCUUUAAUGGUACUUUGCUAUGAAAAGAAAACACUGUAUUCCUUAUGCAAAACACAUGUAUCUUUCAUUAUUUAUAAGUGGCCUCUCUUAGCUCAGUUACUCAAUUCAUACGUAGUAUUUUUUAAAAUAAUUUUAUAUCUGUGUACCACCCCAUAUAUUUCAUAUUACUGUUUCACAUGUACAGCUUUCUACUUCUUUGUAAGAACACCAACCAACCAAGGUUUAAGUGAUUAAUAGGCUUGAGCACCGGGUGGCAGAUGUUCUAUGCAGUGUGGUUCAAGUUUCUUUGACCGCACUUAUAUGCAUUGCUAAUAUGGAAUUUAAGAUACCAUACACAGUCUCUCAUGGACCUAUCUCUAUUGUAGAAUUAUGACUUAUGUCUUACUUGCCAAAUUUUUCUGAAUGUGACCUUUUUUUGCUGAUUUGCUGGGUUUGGGAUUAACUAGCAUUAUUUUGCCACCUUUAUAUUGUAUUUAUAAAAAAAAAAGUACUAUCAAUCAAUCAUACUACUUUGGAUUGUUGUGCUGGUGUAAUGUGGAUUUAACAUCAAUAAAUAUUUGACAAAUAA